CCAAAGUAAACGAGAACGGUGAGUUUGGGUCCAUCUAACGAGGCACAGCCCAUGUCGCCAGCGAGAAUGAAGGCCGAUCUCGUUUUUUUUGGUGAAAAAAGCCCGUCUCUCUUUGGUGCGAUCGAGAAGAGUGCAGAAGAUUUUAGGGCAAAUAUGCGGCCGAUUCGGCAAGAAAUCAGAGCAACCUGUUUAGAGAGAGAGAGAGAGAGAGAGAGAGU
RNAcentral lists this long non-coding RNA (218 nucleotides) under Phoenix dactylifera (date palm). RNAcentral's name for it is "long non-coding RNA (PDAC_LNC016352)". Lineage: Eukaryota; Viridiplantae; Streptophyta; Magnoliopsida; Arecales; Arecaceae. The record is from RNAcentral.